Long non-coding RNA from Salvia miltiorrhiza (redroot sage), 1840 nucleotides. RefSeq lists it as uncharacterized. The record is from RefSeq and is a predicted model, not a curated record. NCBI's taxonomy places the organism in Eukaryota, Viridiplantae, Streptophyta, Magnoliopsida, Lamiales, Lamiaceae. The transcript is spliced from 3 exons.
CCAUUCUAUUUAGUUAUUUGUCUAUUUAUUUAUUUUAUUGGGCCUCAAGCCCAAUAAUAUUUAUCUGUGAGUUAUUAAUUUUUCUUGGGCCUCCAACCCAAAAUUUGGUGAGAUCAAUGUUGGCCCAAAAUUUGGAGAUCAGUGUGGGAAGCUGAAACAUGCGUGUGUGUGUGUCUGUGAGAACUGUAAUAUUUUCCUUUCUCUCCAAGUCUAACUGUACAAGAUAUUUUUCACAAAUUUGAAGCUUUGGCGUUGUUUCAACCACGUCAAUCCAUCUACCUUCAUAAAUUACCUCAACUUUUCUUACACUAUUCCAGCGCAAGAGUCACUUCCUCAGGCUGCGGUAGGAAGCAAUCAACAUAAAUUCCAGCUGAGAAGAGGGGGAGGUUGUCGGAGGCCCGAUGCCGGGCUGACGAUGAUGCGGCGGCCGGCGCCGCAUGGGUGGUGGCAGCCCGUGGCUGCUCACGGUGAAGGCAGGCGAGGCGGCGCGGUUUGAGGCAGGACGGUGCAAGGCGGCACCCGACGCCGCUGAACUCGGCCGAGGCAGGCGAGCGGCGGCGGUGGCGUUUCCUCCAUGGCCGUCUGCCUUCGGACACGGGCGCGAGAAUGGGGGAGGCAGAUGGGAGGAUGGUGAGAGAGGGAGGUUGACGAGCAAGGGAAGGGUGGUGGCCGGCGACGAUCUCAUCGGGAAGAGGGGUGGCGGCGUGACUGGUUAAGAGAGAGGGUGGUGAGAUAGGGAAGGCGACGAGUGGGGGGAAGACAUCGGAGUCGGCGAUUAUCGCCGAGGUAGGAGCAGGCGGCGGCGGAUCUUGGAGGGAGAAGAGGGGCGGUGAUUUUGGGAGAGAGAGAGAGAAAGAGCCGAUUUUUUUUAAGAGUGGGAAAGUGAGAGAUGUGUUUAUAUUAUUUCUUUGUUUUAGUUUGACCUUUUUUUUCAAAUGGGUCUUUAGUUUUGGGCUCUCACUUAUUAAAAUCAAUGGGCCAAUUUAUAUUAAUCAUAGUGGCUGAUUCAUUUCAUUUAUUUGAUGGGCUGUGUUUUAUUAUAUUUGGGCUCAUUUGAUUUGAACAAGUCUAUUGCAUUAAUUUCUUGGGCUCUAAUCAUUUUUCUAAUUGAGCCUACUAGUAUUUUAAUUAGUUUUAUUAAUUUUCUUAAAAGAUUAGCUUUUAUAUUAAAUAUCUUAUAAGUGUUAAAUUUAUUAUUAAUUAUCUUAAUUAAGUUAUUAAUUAUGUAUUAAAAGUUUAUGAAUUCACUCAAGGAGUUUAUUAAAACGGGCAAAGUGUAUCAAUAGUUAGCGAUUCCAUUUACUUAGAAAUUAGAAUGAUACCUCGAGACCUAUUAAGAAUAUAAUUUCUUGUAGGCUUUGUGACCAGGUGGGUUAGCGCUGCUUUCCCAAGACAGGUUUAUAUGUGUAUAAUCUUCAGGCUUUGCCUAUCCAGAUGAGGAUUGUGUACACAAGGUUAGUUGCUCAAUGGGUUGAUCGCCAUUUGGGCACUAACGAAGCUAAGUAGGCGUUAUAAGGGUGCUCCUGGACACGUUCCAAGCACAGAUGAUGAUGUGUUCCGUCUGGGUAACGUCCCGGGUUCACUUAAGCGGCGGUAAGCGAUCCGACGGUGGUUAAGUCCCGGGAUCAUAAGCAGCGAGUAACAAUCGAACGUCACAUGGCGCGCCACUUAAUGAGAGAAAUGUUUUGUCAUGCUUAGAAGUGGAUUUCUAUUUUUUUAAAACCUUCUAAGUUAUGAUUAUGAUAUUGGAUAAACUGUUCUAUUUAAUUAUUUCAUAAAAUAUCUUGUAAACUCCUGUUCACUGAGUACACUAGUACUCAGCCCAAAUUAUUUCAAAUAU